UGACGUAGGGCGCCCCGCCCCCACCGCCAGAUCCGCUGCUGCUGCCUCGGCGGGCCGACCUGCAGGAGGCGGCGGCGGCGGCGGCCGAGGCCGAGGGAAGAUGGCGGACGGUGUGGACCACAUAGACAUUUACGCGGAUGUGGGUGAAGAGUUCAACCAGGAAGCAGAAUAUGGUGGACAUGAUCAGAUAGAUUUGUAUGAUGAUGUCAUCUCUCCAUCUGCAAAUAAUGGCGAUGCCCCAGAAGAUCGCGACUACAUGGAUACUCUUCCACCAACUGUUGGUGAUGAUGUGGGUAAAGGAGCCGCACCAAACGUUGUGUACACUUACACUGGGAAGAGAAUCGCAUUGUAUAUUGGAAAUCUAACAUGGUGGACAACAGAUGAGGACCUAACUGAGGCCGUUCAUUCUUUGGGAGUAAAUGAUAUUUUGGAGAUAAAAUUCUUUGAAAAUCGGGCAAAUGGACAAUCAAAGGGAUUUGCCCUUGUUGGUGUUGGAUCUGAAGCAUCUUCCAAAAAGUUAAUGGAUCUUUUGCCUAAAAGAGAACUUCAUGGUCAGAGUCCUGUUGUAACUCCAUGCAAUAAGCAGUUCCUGAGUCAAUUUGAAAUGCAAUCCAGGAAAACUACACAGUCAGGACAGAUGUCUGGGGAAGGGAAAGCCGGUCCUCCAGGAGGCGGUUCACGCGCAGCGUUUCCUCAAGGUGGUAGAGGACGGGGCCGGUUUCCAGGGGCUGUUCCUGGUGGGGACAGAUUUCCUGGGCCAGCAGGACCAGGAGGGCCACCUCCACCUUUUCCAGGAAAUUUGAUCAAGCAUCUUGUUAAAGGAACUCGGCCUUUGUUCCUGGAAACUAGGAUUCCAUGGCAUAUGGGGCACAGCAUAGAGGAAAUACCCAUUUUUGGCCUAAAAGCUGGACAAACUCCACCACGUCCACCUUUAGGCCCACCUGGCCCACCUGGUCCACCAGGUCCUCCACCUCCUGGUCAGGUUCUGCCACCUCCUCUAGCAGGACCUCCUAACCGAGGAGACCGCCCUCCACCACCAGUUCUUUUUCCUGGACAACCUUUUGGGCAGCCUCCGCUGGGUCCACUUCCUCCUGGGCCUCCACCUCCAGUUCCAGGCUACGGCCCCCCUCCAGGUCCACCGCCUCCACAGCAGGGACCACCUCCACCUCCAGGCCCCUUUCCACCUCGCCCACCAGGUCCACUAGGGCCUCCCCUCACACUUGCUCCUCCUCCACAUCUUCCGGGACCACCUCCAGGUGCCCCGCCACCAGCUCCACAUGUGAAUCCUGCUUUUUUUCCUCCACCAACUAAUAGUGGCAUGCCAACAUCAGAUAGUCGAGGUCCACCACCAACAGACCCAUAUGGCCGACCUCCCCCAUAUGAUAGGGGUGACUACGGUCCCCCUGGGAGGGAAAUGGAUACUGCAAGAACACCUCUGAGUGAAGCUGAGUUUGAAGAAAUCAUGAAUAGAAAUCGGGCAAUCUCAAGCAGUGCUAUUUCAAGAGCUGUGUCUGACGCUAGUGCUGGUGAUUAUGGGAGUGCUAUUGAAACAUUGGUAACAGCAAUUUCUUUAAUUAAACAAUCCAAAGUCUCUGCAGAUGAUCGUUGCAAAGUUCUUAUUAGCUCUCUGCAGGAUUGCCUUCAUGGAAUCGAGUCCAAGUCCUAUGGGUCUGGAUCCAGAAGACGUGAACGAUCAAGAGAACGGGACCAUAGUAGAUCACGGGAAAAGAGUCGUCGCCAUAAAUCUCGGAGUAGAGAUCGCCACGAUGACUAUUACAGAGAGAGAAGCAGAGAACGAGAGAGACACCGGGAUCGGGACCGCGACCGUGACCGAGAGCGUGACCGAGAGCGAGAAUACCGUCAUCGUUAGAAGUAAAUAUACCUACAUUUUAAGUGGUCCAAGUACUUGUUCUGAUUUAAUCUUCUGGAAGCAUCUGAAAACAGAAUUAAUUCUAUUUGUCCCUGAAACUUUUAAAGAAGAUCUAAUACUAUAGUAGGUUAUAAAUCAAAAAGAUGUUUUUCAGCUGCGAAAGAGGAUUUUUUUUUCCCUUUUAGAAAUUACUUUUAGAUGAGAAUUGCUAGCAUUUGAUUGUAUUUUUAAAGGAACACUAUCUUUUUAAUUUGCAAAGAAGGCAGAAAGUGGGUUUAGGGUUCAUAUCUAGGAACUUAAAACUGUGCCAAGCCAUACAUUCCAAGUUAGAAAUACGUGGAAAUAAUUUUCUUUGAUGUUUCAUUCAUAAGCCAUAAUCAUUGUCUUUUUUUUUCCUGUAUUUUAAAUUUUUCUUGUGUACAUUUUUCAUAAAGUAGGAUGAGUUGUCUGUUUAUGCUUCAUUUUUACAUGUAGUUUCAUUUUAUAUUUGUGAACAGUGUUUACUCAUGAAGAGUGGGGACAGAGCACUGUGAAUCUUUUGAAUGUGGCAGGUUAUCAAUUCUGUAAACACCUUUGCUCCAUAUAUGAGUUAAAGUAGACUUAACAAAUCCUUUAUAAGUGUACUUAUAAGUAAAUAUUUUACAAAAAUUUACUAAAAAUCCAGUUGGAAAAUUGUUAAUAUUUAAAUUGUAAUUGGCUUUAUCAUGUAUGUAAUUCUGUGGCUAGCAGUUUCUUUAAUCAUCACAUACAUAACACAUAUACAUACAAACACGAUCCCUUUUGAAAAAGAAAAAAAAUGUAAUUUUUAUGAAAUACAAGUUUCAUGACAGUUUUUGAAGUGAGGAAACCCAUUUUAAUAGCUUGUCUUACAUCUUGAAUAUUUAUCAAAACCCUUUUACUAGUUAUAUGUUAUACUAAAAUUUUAAUUCUCAAAACAUUUCUCUUAGUUUUAAAAUUACUAAAGUUGGUACUGUUUGGAUAUAAACUUUGGAUGUUGUAUCAUAUAAAUCUAAAUAAUUUUUAAAUGAAGUUCUUUUAGUCCUAGUAAAAAUCCCCUAAGGUAGAUUGGGAUCAAGUUAUUACUUAAAAUGUCGAAAUAUCUGUUUUGAUAAAGUAUUGAUUUUUCAAGUGGUAUUUUUUGUUUGUUUAUUUAUUAUAUAGCUACCAAAGAGAUGAUAGUGAAAUUGGAUACAUUUUCAGUAACUCAGUGUGUCCAUCAAGGGGCCUCUAAGCCAGUUCAUAUGUAGCCUUAAUUAGCAGUUCUUUUUACAGGUCUUCAUAAAAUUAAUCCAGUAAACCAAGUAUGCAUUGUUAGCUUUACAUACUUUGAAUUUAUACUCCAGUCAAGAGGAAUCACCUAAAUAUAUCAUUUUGAGUUCAUGUCACUCAGACAUUAACUACAGUUUCCUAUUAUGCAGUUUUUUGCAAUCGGUGAUGUAUCAUUCCCUAAAUCCCAUGUUUUGUUUGUACAUUAAUCAGAAUUGGGUUGUAAUAUUGUUAUGUGCCUUUAUCCAAGCAAAAUUUUACAAAAGCCUUUAUAGCAGGGGAAAGAUAAAAAAGAAAGAAUAUGUUUUUCUGGAUUACUGUACUUUUGCUAUACCAAACGGUAUUUAUUGUGAAGUAGAUGUAAGAGGGUGGGGGUGGGCUUAAAUGCAUAUAUUCCGAGUGCAAACCUAUCUGCAAAUUUUAUUAUCAUUAUAAGGUCUGUUGACCUCUUUAGAAGUUUUAAAAUAUGAGUCCUUUUGAACUUCCUUGUAAAUUUUAAAUGGAAUAAAUGGACUAAGAAGUACUUCACCAAUAAAGUAAGUGUCAGUCUCUGUAUAAGUCACUAAUGUACUCUGCUGUCAAGGGAUGAUGGUGGUAGAGGCAGGUUCUGGAAGCGCGGUGUUGACAGCUGUUAAUGUCUGUCCCAUCCUAAGUUUCUUGUGUUUGAAUUGUUGAGUAAUGUUAAUUGCAUUCUCAUUUGAAAAAUGUAUUAGUUUUUAAAAAAGUUUUCUAUAUCCGAGUCUAAAUAGGUAAUAAUAGUUCAAUGAGAAAAAUAACAGCUUUGUAAAUUUCAGUGUAUAAAUGCAUUGUGCUUCAUAUUCUGUAAUUUUUGCCUCUAUUCUCAGACCACUCUGAGCAAAAUAAAAGCUGUAAGGUUUGUUCUCACAGAAAUAACGUUACUGUCCAGUUGCAGUGGGAGCUCCUUUCCUUGGUUUUACUGCUCUCAUUGUUUAGCAUAGUCCCACCCAGCAGUGUGUGUUAACAACCGAGUUCUGUGCCCCGAGGAAUAAGGGAAGCACAUUCUUUUUCUAGGUGUUUUUUAUUCCGGCUCCUCCUCCUCAUUUGUGAGAUUCUCAUGCUCUCAAAUGAUUACUUUUCCCCUAAGUACUGUGUUUGGAAUCUGGGUUAUAUAACUGUAAGUGUAUGGCCGUGUGAUUAUUUCUGGCACAAAUGUCAUGAACUUGAAUUUAAUUACUACACAGGAUUUAGAAUGUUUUGUGUUUUUUAUCCAGAUUAUUAUAGCUUGUGUUAAUUUGGGGGGAAGCCCAAAGAAAAUCAUUUCUUUUAUGUUAAGAUGUUCCAUCUUGUUAGGAGUGUUAUGUUGAGGCUUUUGUGAAAAUUAAAUUCUUCUUCAUUGCCUGGUGAAUGAUAGAUAACUGUUAACAAGCUUUCAGAAUUUCUUUUACAAGUCUUAGAUGACGUGUUGUGACCAGCCUAGCAUUCCCACCAUGUUUGCUUAUGGUUUUCCAUUGAUCUCAACUGUCCGCUUCACCUCGCUAUGCUGACUCUCAUUUCUUUUCUACUUCUCAUGUUUUUAGUGUGUGUAAAAUCUGAUUGUCCACUGUUUUACUUGAAGUGACAAGAGAGGGUAGAGAGUGGCCCCUUGGAUGGAUAGUGUGUUUUGCUCACCGUGGUUUAAGAAUACAGUUUUGUUUAUAAAUAAUUAAUGUUCUCUGUCUUAAAACAGAAAUCCAGUGCCAAUGUGAGUCACCUGCUCUCUCACCUUCAUCUCAGGGUGAUAGUUUUGCCAUUGUUUAGUUUGUAUCUUGGAUUGUUUUUAAUACAUAAUGUUUUAAAUGAAUUUAGUUAGCAUUGUUUAAAGGAAACCUACUAACCAAUAAGAGAAGAGUGACAUUCAUGUUCUGUAAAUUCAUGCUUUUGCGUUCUGUAGUUAGCAAGUUCUAGCUCUUGACAGUGGGUGAAUUCUAAAUAACAACAGCUUAUUUUGAAAUGUCCAUAUUUUUUGAGUGACUCUCUUUGGCACAAAACUUUUUUUCUUUCAUUUUCUUAUUUGUGGUGCAGUUUAUUUCUGUGUAGUCAAUUGCAUAGAAUACUUCAUUGUGUAUUUUGUACAGUAAUAAAAUGACUUAGUUGAAAUGGGGUAAGUAUGAUGUUCAGAGAAAAACAUCAGAGUAUCAACUCAGUAGCUCCAAGCUUUUUGUGAACAUCAGUAAUAAAUGGAAUUGGUUUUAUAUGUACUGUGUUCUAGUCAAUAAAAGAAGAAACUCAGGAAGAGUUAAUAUGUUUAGACUCUGUUGUUGCCUACCUCAUCCCCAUUCCUCAUUAAGGAGAAAUUUUCAGAUAUAGAAGGGUAGAUUUUAUUAACUUAAAAGUAUUAUAUUUCUAAAAUUAUGUGAGGAUCCUUUUUUAAUUCAGCUCAUUAAUAUGAAAACGUGUAAGAGCUGGGUGUGAUAGUGCACACCUGUGACCUUAGUACCUGAUGACUGAUGCAGGAGGAUGCUCGUGAGCUCCAGGCCAGCCUGGUUUACAUGUGGAGUUUCAUACUAGCCAGACCUCUAUACUAAAACCGUGUUUCAGAAGUAAGAACAAACACUCAACAUAAAAACCUGAGAAUUUCAUCAAAUAAGAUAUUCAAGUGUUUUUCUUAAAAGAUUAAUUUCCAUGAGUUGUAAAAUACAAAUAAUACCAAGAUUGCACAUAUAAUUAAACACUCAAUUUGAGUUGUUCAUAACUGUUUGAUAGCACAAGUGUAGGCAUUUUUAGUCUAUUGAAAUGUUACUGCUUGCUGUAGCUUGCAGACUUUGAGGCCAGUUUCUUUGUCUGGUUGAUUUAACAGCUGUUUACCUAGGUGCCUUUAAUAACUGACAGGUAAAGCAAGUCAUGGUGUGGCUUGGCAUUACAGAUCUAAUCAAAUGCAAUUUUGAAUAUGUGGGCAUCAAAUGUAUUUGUUACUUUUAAGCUUUUUGGUAUCUUUGUUUAUGUAGAUGUCUACUUAGACAUUUGAGUCUAUAAUAUGGAAUUGGAUUAUUGGAAAUGGGUUGUACUGCCUUCAAAUUUUGCUUCCAUUUUGAGAUUGUAAAAUCUGUGUUUAUGUAAAGUGUUUAGAAAUAGAAAUAAAAGUUUCUAAACUAUUCCGUAAAUUUUAUGUCUGUAUGGUAAAAUUUGAAGAUUUAUCAAUUAGUAAAUACCUACCUAUAAUAUAAUGAAGCAAAGGACGAGUGCAUUGGCUCUGCACACACGCGGGCCUCAUAAGCAGGGUUGCCUGUGGACAGCAGUGAGCCUCCACGGGUCAUGCUAAUAUAUAUCCUGUGGCUUUUUGAAAGAUUGGGUUUUUUGUUUUGUUGUUUUUAAUUCCCCUAUACUGGGACUUUAAGUAAUUUUCUCUCAGUAACUCUUCAUUCUUUACAACACAACACAAAUAUUAGGGUAGAUAGUAUUUCUUUUUUAGUAGGAUUUAUAAAUUUUCCACAGGCCUUUUUUUUUUUUUGUAGAUUGAAACACCUGCCUUAUCUGUCUCUAAUGAUUUUACUAUUUUAAAAUUUCACUAGUGCUGGAAGUGUUAGUGUAGGUCCUGAUUUUUGUGUGUUGUGGAGGACUGGAUUCAGUCUUCAGCCUCAGUCCCAGAACACAAACAAAGAGAACUAGCAGCAUUGUAACCUGUAAAACUAAAACAUUUGAAAGCCAACAUUGUAGAUUUCUUCUGUUAAAUCCUCUGUAUAAGCCUAUUAGCAUAUCGUGAAAGAGAAGGUACAAAAGGUGAUUACAUAAAUAGUUUACAUGACUCUUAAAAGAGCGCAGUUGAGAAAGAUUUUUUUCUUUUGUACUUUUAAGGUUUUAUUAGGGAGGAUGAAUAUGUGUAUAUAUACUGAUUCUCCCAAUAGAUAAAUGAACACAGAAUUCAUAGUUGUUACAAAAAUUCCUCCUAAUUAUAAAGCAAAGGAUCUUUCAAAAUUAUUUUUAUGACAGAAUGCCACUAAAUGUUAUGUGCUUUUGAAAAAUAUUAAAAUACCCUCCAAUAUUUCUAUUUUAAAUAUUUGAUAUUAAGUGAUCAUUUUAAAAUUAAUGUUUCUUUUUUGGACAUUUACUUGAAAUUUACAUAAAUAUAAAUAUGUAUUCCUGAGCUUAUAGUAUCAAUUUAUUGUUGGCUUCCCCUCCCCCCCUUUAUGUAAGUUUUCAAUGAAAUUUAUCAUUGUAGAUUUUUAUUAGUUUGUGUUUGGUUAGUGGAUAUAGGUGAAAUAGAAUGAAAGUAAUGUCUGAAAUUUGUAUUGUGUCUAAAGAUUUGUAUGUGGAUGUCAUAUUUAAUGACCAUAAUGAAGUAUUUAUAAAUUUUGUAACAUGGAACUCCAUUGGUUUAUAACAAAUUGGCAGAAGUUCUUGUAUGCUGUCAAAUACAGUUAAUUUGUAAAUUUCAUUGCAUUUUAUAUUCAGUUCAGCAUAUGUUAAUUAUAUUGAUAUGUGGAUGAAUGAAAAAUAUCUACAUUCAAAUCCAAGCAUUUUCCAAUUUAUUUUGUAGUGUGCAUAUUUUAGACAAUGACUUACGGUUGUUCUCAUCAUCACAGAAACAGUAGCUGUGUAUUUUCAUUUGUUACUGUAAUCUUAUUCUUUUCAAAAUUAUCAUAUUUUGCACAAAACAGUGGUCCUCAUGAGAAUCAUUGAAUUUCAAUGGAAGUAAUAUGUGAAAAGAAUAUGAGAAUUUCUUACUUUGAAUUUGUAAAUUCAGUUUGUAAACAUGGGAGCAUUUCUCCACCAUGUAAGCAGCUACUGUUUGAGUUACCUUUUAUUUUGUGCUAGAAUCCCUAACAGUGAAUAGUUGCACGACAUGUGUAUGUAUAGCUAAGCCAACAUUUUUUUUUUGUGUAUUCUGGGGAAUAGCAAAAUCUACAUCACAAAUUUUGACACAUUACAGCUGAAGGAAGAGGAACACCUUCCAAGACAAAAGAGUCUUCUCGGGGGAAAAGUGACGCUUGUCCAGCAGUUUGCUUCUUGUGAUUGAACUGAACCUGUAAGGCUUCAUGGAUAAACUGAACAGGAAUAGAUCUGAAUAAAGCAAAUCUGCAUAAAUGGUAACCAGUAGCUCUACUUUUAUUUUUUAUGUUGCUUAACUGUUUUAUUUGAAGGAAACCUGUGUGAUUUAAAAAGUUAAUAGCUUUUGCAACUUUAUUACUGGUUAUAUAUAUUUGGCCAUUAUAAUGUGCAAGCAAUUGGAAAAAAGUCAAGUAAAUGCUUGUUUUUAUAGUAGUUUGUUCUUGUUAAAAUGUUCCUAUGAUAAUGUCUGUAAACAGCACCGAUUUGAUUACACUAGAUGUAGUGUUGUAAUAAACUGUUUAUGGGGCUGAUGUGUAAAGCUGUUCACGUUAUUUGAUGUUUACACCUCAGGGAAAGGCUUGUGUUCAGCAAUAUCUAAAGAUAAUGUUACUAUGACAACAUUUUUACUGUCCUUUAAAAAGCAUUGCAAUAGCGUGUUUGGAUAUGCAUCAAUCUAAUCUUGCGUUCAGUGAAUUAAACAUGACUAAUUAAGUGUCUAUUGCCCUUGAUUUUGAUAUUAGAAUAGGUGACUACAUGGGUAUUUAAUAUUUCUAUAUUCUGCUUUUCUAGCUGUUUUUACCUAGUUAGCUUGUGAUUUUGCUGAAUGGUAUGUAAACGUGUAAAAACUGAAAUUUGACAGAGCAAUCCAGUCAAUGUGUUAGGGGUCAAAAAAAUUGAAGGCUGUAACAUUUUUGGUAAAAACUCAUGUAUUUGCUACAGUAGUGCAGCUUAAUUACAACCCAGAUAUACUGAAAUAAUAAAUUGUGAACUGCUAGCAUUUAAGAUAGAUUUUGAUAAUUCUGGUUUCAUGCAGUAAUUUACUGUUUGAUGCUGAUGGUGCCAUAGGCAGUGUAAUUAUGGCUAUACAGCAAGAUGCGUAAAGAAAGCUCUAGUAUUGUACUUGAUUCAGAUUUCUGAAGGGUGUGAUGUUUAUUAACAUUGGGCUGUAUUGUUCAGUGUGAAUAAUGAAAAUUUAUAAUUACACUGUCUUCAUGGCUCAAGGAAUUGUGUGUGUAUUCCUGUAACCUUGUUGAUCUAUGCUUGAUUAGAGUUAAUCAGCUGAUUUUUUUUUCUUUUUUUUUCCUUUCUUUCAUUUUUUUUUUUAAAAGAUCCAGCCUUAAUAAAAGGUUGUAUUAAAAGCACCUGGCUAGCAUGUGUUAUGCAAAAAAUAGCAGAGACAGACUGACUGUCAAUUUGAUUGCCUAUUUUUAUAGGAAGGUAAAAAUCUGAAUUACUAAAGAAAUUUAGAUAAAGUCCUAAAGCUAAUUUGUGUUAAAUGUUUUAAAGAUCUUAUUACCUGUGAGAGAUCUGUGCAUUGACUUUUUGAAGUUUACGUAAAUUUAAGAGCAGAGCUUAAGGUCUGUGCCAUAGGUUGAGGUAAUGAGCAGCUUGAGAGGUUUGUACUUUUCUUCAGUGUUGUCUUCUCUGCUUUUAAAACACUCAGAAAUAUCCAUACCACUGCCAGUUCAUUUUAAAGCAUCUGUGAGCAGGGUAUUUUUUGAAAGGUAUCAUUGGUGUUUACCACAACUGUUGUUAGCUCUCAGAAAUGAUUUUUCUUAAGUGUUUAAUCUUGUUGAAAUGCAAUUACCUUUUAAUUUGGGAGUUGUAUCAAAAUCUAUUUUCUUGUUUUGUAUAUAGGUCUUGUAAGUUUUUGUCAUUUUUUAGCUUUUUUUAAUAGUUCAAUUACAAUGCCCUAAUGUGAAGCUGUGUGGACAUACAUGUGUUUACAAGGGGGAUUAGUUAAUAGUGAGAUUAACAGGUAAGUACAAUGUCCAUAGAUAGAAUUUCUCUGAACAUUUUAAAAAUGGAAUCAAAAAAUACAUAUACUUGAAAUGAAACUGGAGAUUUUGUACUAAUUUUAAUCCUUUAUUACCUUUUAUUUUUUCUUUUUAAAAAAAUCAGUUGGAACCCUUUGUUUGCUCUCCUUAUGUCACACUUCUUGCUUGGCCUAUUUCACUCAUAAGCGACUUUGGAUGCAGACAGUGUAUUAGCCUUGCUUGCUGCUGCUGGUCCAUUACUUUAAGUGUUGUUAGGAAAAAAUAAAAUAGCUUUGGUUUGUCUAAUUUUGCAGUGUCUCCUACCUGAUAACACAUGAAUGUAUAGCAGUAAAAGUAAAAAUUACAAACCUUGUUAUUUGUCAAAGCCCUUCUGUUGUCUAGGAGCCAGUUUCAUUUGAAAACUGGUUUUUAAUGUGUAAAAGCAAUCCAAAGAGAUGAAAUUUUACAGACACCAAAAAAGAGAGAGAGAGACAAACAAGUCAGAGAGAAGAAAAAAGGAGUUAAACACGUGUAGUUCAUAUAGAGAGGCAGUGACAGCUUGAGCUUGUCUUGAGUCCCAGCGUCGCUCAGUGCUGUGUAGUCACAUUCCUUGCAGCUAGUAGUGAGAUUCCACAAGGUAUUUCUCCUGACGUGGCACUUUGAAUUCAAUAUACUGCUUUGAGGGAAAGGAAAUAGAUUUGUAGAAAGGAUUCCUUCAGUGUAAAUUUACAUGUGUUUAUGUUUUGUCAGUUUUCAUCAGCAAGAUGAGCAAGAUUCUAAGUGACUUGCCAUAGUUGUUGAUCAUGUCAGGCCAUUUCAUGUCUCCUUAACCUAUAAUCUUAAGCAGUUAACUACAAUUUGGAAUUUACAAAUAGCAUGUAGCUUAAGGUAUUAUUUUAAUUUGAUUCUCCUAUGGAGACUGUUGCUUUAGUUUUUACUAGUUUAAAGUCAGUUCUAAAAAUAAACAUGGACGCUUUCAUGAACAUUGUAUAAUAUUUUAUAGUAAAGGGGGGGAAGUUGUUUAAAGGGUAAGACUUUAUCUUUCCCUGUGUUGACACGUGCCAAUAGCCUGAGUACAUUCUGUUUCAUACAACAAGAUGCCACUGCAAGACUCUUCCACUGGAGUGCUCAUGUCACUUCAGUUUUGCUACCCAAGUGGUUGUUGCAGUGUCUAUAUCUUGCAAGGUGGCCCCAAUAUUGUGUUUUAAGCUUCAGCUUCAGUUAUUUUAAGAGGAAGUUUAUGCUCUGAUUCUUCACUGAGAAUUCAGUAUUGAGAUUCUUGCUAUUACACAGAUAGACUGAUUUCUAAAUUUUAUUCAUGAACUUCAUUUGCAUCCCAUAGCCCUCUGUAAAUGUUUCCCCCAGUUGUAUGUACUUACUAAAUGCAUGCUUUUUCAUUGUACAUACUAGACAUUUUUUGUGCUAAAAUUUAUUAAGUAGGGUUUUUGUAGCAAAGCAUUCUAUUUUUAUGUUCUUAUAGUGUAUGUGUUAACAUUAAUAUUCAGUUUAAACACUGGUGUAUUUAUUUUUAGCAACUUGACUCCUAGAAGCCUUAGACUAAUUUUUAAAUAAACAUUCAACCAAAAAUUAUGAAUUUCUUGAGAUGUGGCCUUAUACGUGGUGUUUUCUGUGUUCAUAACGUGAAAUAUUUUAAAUUUAGAUUUUAUUUAAAUCAAGAUUUAGAAUUAGUUUCAUUUUAAGUCAAAAUAGAAAAUGUAUUAAGCGUCUAGGCUUCUGGGAGGAAGUUCUUAACACUCUUCUUUCUUGGCAUUAGAAAGAAGCAAUAUGAAUUUAUGAAUAUUCUAAAUAUUCAGGCCAUUGUAUUGUGUUCAGAUUGCUUUAGGCUUGUUUUAGCCCAGUGUUUCUUUAAAGUUCCAGGUGGUUGGCAUUCAUGAAUAUACAGCUACUGUGGUUUUUAUAUGGGUGUAUGAAAUCUUGGUUACAUAUAGGCAGAUUUCUGUUUUUAAAGAAUUCCUGCUACAUUAAUUAUACUGUAUCAGGAGGCAUUUAAAAUAUUAGGUAACAUUUAAUUGAAGUCACACAGGUCUUGGAUGGUAUUCGUGGAUAGUAAAUACUACGAGCAGUUUUUCAUAUCAGAGAGUGAGUACCCUAAAACUCCACCAUGGGAGUAAAUUAAAAUAAUUUCAUAAUUGGCUAUACCCUUCAUUUUAGUAAAAAUACUUCAUUUUGAAAGUUAUUUUUUUGCCACACUGUUUACUGCGUAACACUUCUCAGCAUUUCUGUAUGCAAACUAUUUUAAAAUACAGUGAUCAAUUCGUGUUUAUUUUUUACUUCGGAAAUUGUAGUACUCAGGUGGUAUUCAAUGGGCAAUGAUUCUUUGAUGUGAAUCAUAAUGUAUUUUGAGGACUGCAACUAUAACACACGACUUUAGCCUUAAGAAAAGGUCUAUUACUCCUUCCUUUGCAUCCCAUGGUAUAUUAGCAAAGUAGUUUACAGCCCUGCACAGCCUUACAAAGUUGUUUUACAAUUUUUUUAUGGAAAACCCUUAACAAGAGAAAAUUGUAUCAUAUUACAGUGCUGAUGAGUUAUUGAAUGAUCACCCUUUGUAAAUAAGUUGUCUGAUACCAGAAGGCCAAAGAAAGUCUUGAGAUUUUAGCUAUUGAAUGUGGUGACUUCAUAAGAUUUCUGUGCAAAAGGUAAGGUGAGAUUCCAUUCAGUAGGCAUUCUGUUGAUGUCCAUGAAAACUAGACUUCCAUAUUAGCUUCCUUCAAAAGGCUCAUUCCCAUUUUAUUAAAAUGUUUGUACUUGCAAUUUUGUGUUUAAUGUUUACUUUGUCUUUUCUUUCUUUAGCAUUUAGGUGACUGUUCAGCAGUUUUCUAUAUGGCCAUUGUUGGCCUAAAACUGCGCUAGUAACAAGCAUGGUAUUUAUCUUGUAUUGAAAAUAAAAACAAAGUUUUGGUAAUA
Molecule: RNA transcript, 12804 nt
Organism: Mus musculus (house mouse)
Lineage: Eukaryota; Metazoa; Chordata; Mammalia; Rodentia; Muridae
Gene: Cpsf6
Gene name: cleavage and polyadenylation specific factor 6
Exons: 12
Source: RefSeq, marked validated